Molecule: transfer RNA, 84 nt
Filed under: Comamonas sp. KCTC 72670
Lineage: Bacteria; Pseudomonadati; Pseudomonadota; Betaproteobacteria; Burkholderiales; Comamonadaceae
Description: tRNA-Ala
Source: RNAcentral
ACCAUCAUCAGGUGGUGGCCGGCCUCGUGCUUCGCGUGCGCGAUGAGCUUCUGGCCCACGUCGUUCAGGCCCACCUUGACGGUG